Anthonomus grandis grandis is the source of this 656-nucleotide long non-coding RNA. RefSeq lists it as uncharacterized. The record is from RefSeq and is a predicted model, not a curated record. Lineage: Eukaryota; Metazoa; Arthropoda; Insecta; Coleoptera; Curculionidae. The transcript is spliced from 3 exons.
UUCCAUGAUUCUUUCAGUGAAAGCUGAAGAACACUUCAAAGAAUCUUUUAAAACAAAAAUCAACCCGAUCUGACUACCAGAAGUGGAGUUAUGACCCAAGUUACCUCAAACUGUCUUUUUUCUUGGACAUGAUUUACAAAAACCUGGAUAAAAACGGUUCUAAUGGAUGGAUUUCCAUGAUUCUUUUAGUGAAAGCUGAAGAACACUUCAAAGAAUCUUUUAAAACAAAAAUCAACCCGAUCUGACUACCAGAAGUGGAGUUAUGACCCAAGUUACCUCAAACUGUCUUUUUUCUUGGACAUGAUUUACAAAAACCUGGAUAAAAAAGGUUCUAAUGGAUGGAUUUCCAUGAUUCUUUUAGUGAAAGCUGAAGAACACUUCAAAGAAUCUUUUAAAACAAAAAUCAACCCGAUCUGACUACCAGAAGUGGAGUUAUGACCCAAGUUACCUCAAACUGUCUUUUUUCUUGGACAUGAUUUACAAAAACCUGGAUAAAAACGGUUCUAAUGGAUGGAUUUCCAUGAUUCUUUUAGUGAAAGCUGAAGAACACUUCAAAGAAUCUUUUAAAACAAAAAUCAACCCGAUCUGACUACCAGAAGUGGAGUUAUGACCCAAGUUACCUCAAACUGUCUUUUUUCUUGGACAUGAUUUACAAA